GGCGCUGUCGUCUAGCGGCCCAGGACACUGCCCUUUCAAGGCGGAGAUCGUCGGUUCAAAUCCGACCAGCGCUA
Molecule: transfer RNA, 74 nt
Filed under: Candidatus Yanofskybacteria bacterium RIFCSPHIGHO2_01_FULL_44_22
Lineage: Bacteria; Candidatus Yanofskyibacteriota
Description: tRNA-Glu
Rfam family: tRNA
About the family: Transfer RNA (tRNA) molecules are approximately 80 nucleotides in length.
Source: RNAcentral